Molecule: microRNA precursor, 76 nt
Filed under: Ascaris suum (pig roundworm)
Lineage: Eukaryota; Metazoa; Nematoda; Chromadorea; Rhabditida; Ascarididae
Description: microRNA asu-mir-5345b precursor
Rfam family: mir-5345 microRNA precursor family
Source: miRBase by way of RNAcentral
GUGUGCUCAAUAAGGCACUGGAUUGGUCAGUUGAGUUUUCUGAGCGAAACUGGGCCAUUUCCAUUGUCUGGCCGAG